UCGCAGGCCAGUGGCGCAAGGGUGAGUAAGGCGACGGUAACCAACCCCACGGGUGGGUAUAGCCGAGGGAAACCUCGGGUAAUCCCCAGCGACGCGGCGGCCCGGCAUCGGGUCGCCGCCAAAGGUCCGCCGCCGUGGGACGGGCCGUCGUGGUAUUAGGUGGUUGGCGGGGUAACGGCCCACCAAGCCGACGAUGCCUACCGGGCGUGCGAGCGUGGCCCGGCACACUGGGACUGAGACACUGCCCAG
RNAcentral lists this ribosomal RNA (249 nucleotides) under uncultured bacterium. Its description in RNAcentral is "partial 16S ribosomal RNA". It matches the Rfam family "Bacterial small subunit ribosomal RNA", at positions 85 to 334 of the family's 1533-position model. The record is from RNAcentral.